Molecule: ribosomal RNA, 771 nt
Filed under: uncultured Vagococcus sp.
Lineage: Bacteria; Bacillati; Bacillota; Bacilli; Lactobacillales; Enterococcaceae
Description: bacterial SSU rRNA
Rfam family: Bacterial small subunit ribosomal RNA
Source: RNAcentral
GACGAACGCUGGCGGGGUGCCUAAUACAUGCAAGUCGAACGCACGAAGUUGAAGAGCUUGCUCUUUAACCAAGUGAGUGGGGGACGGGUGAGUAACACGUGGGUAACCUGCCCAUUAGAGGGGGAUAACAUUCGGAAACGGAUGCUAAUACCGCAUAGUUUCAGGGAUCGCAUGAUUCUUGAAGGAAAGGUGGCUCCGGCUACCACUAAUGGAUGGACCCGCGGCGUAUUAGCUAGUUGGUGAGGUAAUGGCUCACCAAGGCAAUGAUACGUAGCCGACCUGAGAGGGUGAUCGGCCACACUGGGACUGAGACACGGCCCAGACUCCUACGGGAGGCAGCAGUAGGGAAUCUUCCGCAAUGGACGAAAGUCUGACGGAGCAACGCCGCGUGAGUGAAGAAGGUUUUCGGAUCGUAAAACUCUGUUGUUAAAGAAGAACAAGGAUGAGAGUAACUGCUCAUCCCCUGACGGUAUUUAACCAGAAAGCCACGGCUAACUACGUGCCAGCAGCCGCGGUAAUACGUAGGUGGCAAGCGUUGUCCGGAUUUAUUGGGCGUAAAGCGAGCGCAGGCGGUUCUUUAAGUCUGAUGUGAAAGCCCCCGGCUCAACCGGGGAGGGUCAUUGGAAACUGGAGAACUUGAGUGCAGAAGAGGAGAGUGGAAUUCCACGUGUAGCGGUGAAAUGCGUAGAUAUGUGGAAGAACACCAGUGGCGAAGGCGACUCUCUGGUCUGUAACUGACGCUGAGGCUCGAAAGCGUGGGGAGCAAACAGG